RNAcentral lists this unclassified non-coding RNA (333 nucleotides) under uncultured fungus. RNAcentral's name for it is "partial contains 5.8S ribosomal RNA and internal transcribed spacer 2". The stretch from base 1 to 133 matches the Rfam family "5.8S ribosomal RNA", at positions 22 to 154 of the family's 154-position model. The record is from RNAcentral. Lineage: Eukaryota; Fungi.
UGGUUCUGGCAUCGCUGAAGGGCGCAGCGAAAUGCGAUAAGUAAUGUGAAUUGCAGGAUUCAGUGAAUCAUCGAAUCUUUGAACGCACAUUGCGCCCGCCAGUAUUCUGGCGGGCAUGCCUGUCCGAGCGUCAUUUCAACCCUCAAGCCCCCGGGCUUGGUGUUGGAGAUCGGCGAGCCCUCCGGGGCGCGCCGUCUCCCAAAUAUAGUGGCGGUCCCGCUGUAGCUUCCUCUGCGUAGUAGCACACCUCGCACUGGGAAACAGCGUGGCCACGCCGUAAAACCCCCCCACUUCUGAAAGGUUGACCUCGGAUCAGGUAGGAAUACCCGCUGA